CAAGCACAAACACAAAUACAUACACACAUACACACACACACACACACAUUGGCAGUCGCAGUUGCAGAGGCACGCUGCUGACACACGCGGCUCGCACGUUUUGGAAAAACUGUUCUUCGAGGCUUUUCCCACAUACGCGGCUGCAGCGCGCAUAUCCGACCGAUUCUUGGCGAGCUGCGGUCCAAAAUAAAAGCACAAAAAAUAAUA
This is a long non-coding RNA of Drosophila navojoa, 207 nucleotides long. NCBI's taxonomy places the organism in Eukaryota, Metazoa, Arthropoda, Insecta, Diptera, Drosophilidae. The record is from RefSeq and is a predicted model, not a curated record.